RNAcentral lists this unclassified non-coding RNA (387 nucleotides) under Elsholtzia rugulosa. RNAcentral's name for it is "partial external transcribed spacer". Lineage: Eukaryota; Viridiplantae; Streptophyta; Magnoliopsida; Lamiales; Lamiaceae. The record is from RNAcentral.
AACAUCUCCUUCACGCCUCUUCAUUUGUUGGCGCAAGCACGUUCUCGGCCAAAAUUGGGUUUCCUGUGCUAGAUACCUAUCUCGAAGGAAUUUGGUUGGCUAUAAUUGUUGGCUUUCCGUUGCGUACCGCUGCUCCUUGUGGGGGAAGUGGUGCGCUGCGGACCUCAAGGCACUCGCCGUGUUUCUCACCGUGUCCACCUGUACGGGUGUUUCGGUUUCUGAGCCACGGCGCAAUGCUUGAUAUCUCGGGUGCGGAACAUCUCGUGGGUACGAGGCCGUUGGCCUCCGAUCACCACAACAACAAGCGUUCUACGCUUCGUGCGAGCGACGGUUGGCUCGGUCUUCGAACGUGCUCUAGCAGCCCGAUUGGAGUCGUGUCGGCGUCGG